RNAcentral lists this ribosomal RNA (253 nucleotides) under uncultured bacterium. Its description in RNAcentral is "partial 16S ribosomal RNA". It matches the Rfam family "Bacterial small subunit ribosomal RNA", at positions 524 to 776 of the family's 1533-position model. The record is from RNAcentral.
UACGUAGGGGGCAAGCGUUGUCCGGAAUCACUGGGCUUAAAGCGUGUGUAGGCGGAUCGGUAAGUACCUUGUGAAAUCCCACAGCUUAACUGUGGAACUGCUUGGUAUACUGCCAGUCUUGAGCCACUUAGGGGCUACCGGAACAAAUGGUGGAGCGGUGAAAUGCGUAGAUAUCAUUUGGAACGCCAAUGGUGAAAACAGGUAGCUGGGAGUGUGCUGACGCUGAGACACGAAAGCCAGGGGAGCAAACGGG